AUGUCGUCCUCCACCGUCCCUGUCACCUCCGGCCUCAACUACAACACCUCCGAGCCCCUCUCCCAAACGAACUAUGUUCUCUGGAGAGCUCAAGCGCGAUCCCAGAUAAUGGGCGCCGGCUUGUUUGGCUACUUAGAUCAAACCCUAGAGGAGCCUCCCAAAACCAUCACCACCAAAGACAAAGAUGGCAAGGACCAGGUGAUUCCAAACCCUGCCUAUGCCCCCUGGCUGAUCCAGGAUCAACACAUCGUCGCUUAUCUCCUCCGCAACCUGUCCAAAGAGGUUCUUGUCCAAGUUGCCUCGCUU
This 306-nucleotide ribosomal RNA is filed under the name Triticum aestivum (bread wheat). RNAcentral describes it as "partial small subunit ribosomal RNA". Lineage: Eukaryota; Viridiplantae; Streptophyta; Magnoliopsida; Poales; Poaceae. The record is from RNAcentral.